This 568-nucleotide long non-coding RNA is filed under the name Vulpes vulpes (red fox). Its description in RNAcentral is "lncRNA (ENSVVUG00000022286.1)". The record is from RNAcentral. Lineage: Eukaryota; Metazoa; Chordata; Mammalia; Carnivora; Canidae.
AAACGCUGUCUGCCCUUUAUCACACCUUCCCAUUGGCCCUGGCUCUGCCUUGUACCAGUCUCCUGAUCUCGAGGUGCUUGGGUCCCCACUGCUUACUGCAGCCCCUGGGAUCCGGAGGGUCCCCUCCCUCCCCACUCAUGUCCUCAGGCACAAGCCCAGCCCUGACCAGGGACCUCAGUGGGGAGUCCUGGGAGUGAGCCCACCCCNCCCCACCCCCACCCCUACUCCACCAGGUAUACAGAGAGCCAGAUCCCCCUCCCUCAGGGGCAGGGGCUUAGGCCUCCACAGGAGAUAAAGCUCUUGUCACAGUGAUGUGGGAGCCCUGGGUCCUGGCGUUGUAACCCUCCCUCGGCCACCCGUCCGGUUAUGGCAGGAGCAGGACCCAGGGACCCUCGACAAUCCAGGACCAGGACCUCCAGCUGGCCGUGUGCUGGAUGCCCAGGGAGCUCCCCCCUGAUGUGGGGACCAUCAAGAGCCAUCGGUUCCAGCAACACCUGCAAGAUUUGGAAUCGUGAGUGUACAAAUGGAAUCCGUAAGUAGGGGAAGCAGCCGGAAGGGGCUGGCCCCC